GCCACUGACCGCUCGGCGAGCCAGCGGGAGAGGAUUAGGGCUCCCGAGGCAACUUGCUCGGGGCUCAGGCCGUUCUCCCCCGAAGCUCGGGCUGCCGGGCUGUUCUGGCUCUGGCCUCCCUCUCCUCCUCUUCCUCUUCCUUCUGUCCCCUCCCGCGUUCCUUCCCGGCCGCGCCGCCUGCGCCCUCGCCUCCUGUGGCGCUGCUCCUCCGCCCUGCGCUCCUGGGGUCCCCGCAGUCCGGCUGGCCGCGUUGCGCGCGGGGCUCACUUUCUGCCGCCGGUGGCGAGUGGCUGAACUCCUAAGUGACCAGGAACAGACGAUUUUUAACCGAGUUCUGCUGCGUGGAGCCCAGGUUGGCGCUAGUGAGUGCAGUGUGCUGACCCAAGUGGUGGUGGCCCAAGGACGCGCUGACCCGUACAUUUGGCAAAGCUUUCAUUAAAUGUAUCAGAUUCUCGCGGAAGUGGUUGCAGUCCGGAGAGUGAAACAGCUAUCUCUCAAGUCCUGACCGGUUCAGCUGAAAUCUACAUUUGCACUGAAUCUGGCAAAACACGGACGGGUCCGCCCGAGAUCUCAGGAAACCCAGAGCAAGUUACCUCCAUGUAGUUGAUCAUUCUUUCUGAAAGGACGGACACCAUUUACCCCACUGCAAUCCUGUCCAACGGGCAGCUCUGAGUUUAGCUUUAGCGCCAAAGGAUUGAUUUCCCCCACCCGCUGGAGAUUUACUGGGGACGAGCGGGGGAGGGGAGGCGAAGGUACCUCGGAGGAGGUCAAGUGGGGGAGGAGGAGGAGCAGCAGAAAAUUACCAGCCAAGCAGGGGAGGGAGUUGGAAGCCCGGAAAUAUACCAGGAUGCCUCAAGUAACCUUCCUUUAAGUCUCAGAAUUCAGCCCUCGGAAAACAGCCUCAUAAGGUGUCCUGGGAAGGAGUCCUCGGGUGGGCUGCGGAGGUGAUGUCAAGAGUUACAGCUACUUUAUGAAUUAAACUGACGGCUAAGGCAUGUCGGGACAGUUUAGUGUAAGCUGAAUGGUGCGUGGACGGGGCAACUUUUAAAGAGAGGUGGGCAAUCAUUGGUGGCAUCUACCAGUAUAUUCUGCAUGUAACAGUAGUUUGGAAGCUGAAGAAAAACCCCUCAAAUCCCAGUAAAUGCCCGGUCAGUUCGAGAGAGAUUUUAGGGACAAUUUUGAAGGUCGCUGUCUGCUCCAACUCCGCAGAGAUGAACAAGAGUGUGAACUCUGGCGCGGGUGUGUUUAGAAUUAUCUACGACUUCAGAUCCAUGCUGUUGAAACUCAUCAAUUCUUUGUGACUUCACGUGGAGAGAAGAAUUUGCCCUGCCUCCCUACCUGCUAAAUGCCGACUGAGAAAAGGGGCCCAGGAGACGACCCCUUUCAGAAAGAACGUCACUUCAUCAACUCGGCUGAGUUAUUAACUUGCUCCCCGAAAGGUCAACAACGCCUUCUCUUCUCAGCCGCACCGCGCGGAGAUCAAUCGCUUUACCCUAGGUAGCCUCUUGUUCAGGGCUCAGGAACUCCUGUCUUAAGGUCCUUCUGGGGCUCAGAAGCUGUGUUGUGUAUGUUCUUUCCAAGAAUCCCACCUGUCUGCUUUCAAGCACACACGGCGCUAGAAAUUUAGCCUAGCCUGAGUCCUGGGAUGAGAGAAGAGCUAAACAAAGAGACCCCAACCGUCCCCUUGGCCCCCUGCCCCGCCGUUUUGCAGUUUGCCAACCUUCUAGCUAGACAGCCCCCUAAGUCUCCGUGUUGCGAGUGAAAGAGAAUUUUUCUAUUUCAUCUUCCCAUUGACCGAAGCAGAAAAAUUGAACCGAAUCUACGCCCCUUGUUCUGAUUCCUGCUAGAGGAAAACAGAAAAUCAUCCCGCAGGUCUCUUUCAGUCCCUGGAUGGCGAGCGCAGCCCCUGGGAGGCCACACUUAGUUCUUUAUUGUGAAUCUCUCGCUACUCAAGUUCGUUCGGGACCAGGGCCUCGGAUGGCCUCGGUUGCCCGUAAGUACGCGAAAGAAGAGGUGAAUCCAAUCGCUGGCCUAGAGGAUAGUGAUCAGACAACCCGAGGAUUACUAAACAAGGGGCGGCGGUGUCCCUGUCUCAUGGGGUUGGCGUGGGGCGGGGGGUAGGCAGCAAGAUCCUCCAGGCUCCUGGAUGCAAAGAGUGAGAAAGAAAGCGCAGCCUCUGGCAGCCUGCUUAUAAAUGCAGCCUUUCGGAAGAUGAAACUUGCAGUCUUAGGUUGUCCUCCUUUAUAUCCAUGUUCCAAUCCUCUGGGCUUUCCUCGAAAUGAAUAAAAUUGUGGAAAUGAA
This 2301-nucleotide long non-coding RNA is filed under the name Homo sapiens (human). Its description in RNAcentral is "non-protein coding lnc-EMB-4:11". Lineage: Eukaryota; Metazoa; Chordata; Mammalia; Primates; Hominidae. The record is from RNAcentral.